This 464-nucleotide ribosomal RNA is filed under the name uncultured bacterium. RNAcentral describes it as "partial 16S ribosomal RNA". It matches the Rfam family "Bacterial small subunit ribosomal RNA", at positions 28 to 506 of the family's 1533-position model. The record is from RNAcentral.
GAUGAACGCUGGCGGCGUGCUUAACACAUGCAAGUCGAACGGAAAGGCUCCUGCUUGCAGGGGUACUCGAGUGGCGAACGGGUGAGUAACACGUGGGUGAUCUGCCCUGCACUUCGGGAUAAGCCUGGGAAACUGGGUCUAAUACCGGAUAGGACCACAUUUUGGAUGGUGUGGUGGAAAGUUUUUCGGUGUGGGAUGAGCUCGCGGCCUAUCAGCUUGUUGGUGGGGUAAUGGCCUACCAAGGCGUCGACGGGUAGCCGGCCUGAGAGGGUGUACGGCCACAUUGGGACUGAGAUACGGCCCAGACUCCUACGGGGGGCAGCAGUGGGGAAUAUUGCACAAUGGGCGCAAGCCUGAUGCAGCGACGCCGCGUGGGGGAUGACGGCCUUCGGGUGGUAAACUCCUUUCGCUAGGGACGAAGCGCAAGUGACGGUACCUGGAGAAGAAGCACCGGCUAACUACGU